RNAcentral lists this ribosomal RNA (205 nucleotides) under uncultured bacterium. Its description in RNAcentral is "partial 16S ribosomal RNA". It matches the Rfam family "Bacterial small subunit ribosomal RNA", at positions 1296 to 1500 of the family's 1533-position model. The record is from RNAcentral.
GAUUGUAGGCUGCAACUCGCCUACAUGAAGUCGGAAUUGCUAGUAAUCGCGGAUCAGAAUGCCGCGGUGAAUACGUUCCCGGGUCUUGUACACACCGCCCGUCACACCAUGGGAGUCGGAAAUGCCCGAAGUCUGUGACCCAACCUUAGGGAGGGAGCAGCCGAAGGCAGGUCGGAUGACUGGGGUGAAGUCGUAACAAGGUAAC